This 525-nucleotide ribosomal RNA is filed under the name uncultured bacterium. RNAcentral's name for it is "bacterial SSU rRNA". It matches the Rfam family "Bacterial small subunit ribosomal RNA", at positions 20 to 518 of the family's 1533-position model. The record is from RNAcentral.
UGGCUCAGGACGAACGCUGGCGGCGUGCCUAAUACAUGCAAGUCGAACGGUCUUUCUAUGGAAGCUCGCUUCCACUGAGAAGAUAGUGGCGGACGGGUGAGUAACACGUGGGUAACCUGCCCAUAAGAGGGGGAUAACAUCCGGAAACGGGUGCUAAUACCGCAUAGUUUUCUUGAUCGCAUGAUUGAGAAAGGAAAGACGGCCUUUGUGCUGUCGCUUAUGGAUGGACCCGCGGCGUAUUAGUUAGUUGGUGAGGUAACGGCUCACCAAGACGAUGAUACGUAGCCGACCUGAGAGGGUGAUCGGCCACAUUGGGACUGAGACACGGCCCAAACUCCUACGGGAGGCAGCAGUAGGGAAUCUUCCGCAAUGGACGAAAGUCUGACGGAGCAACGCCGCGUGAGUGAAAGAAGGUUUUCGGAUCGUAAAACUCUGUUGUCAGAGAAGAACAAGUCGGAGAGUAACUGCUCCGGCCUUGACGGUAUCUGACCAGAAAGCCACGGCUAACUACGUGCCAGCCGCCGC